CCUUCCAGCCGGCGGUCCGGCUUCGCAUCAACCUGGCAGCACUGAGGGUGACUGUCAAGCUGCCGAGCGGCUCGGUGACAUAACAGCUCCUGUGUCUGUUAGCCAAAACAAGUGGGGGGUGAGGCGGGAUACGUCUGCUGCGGACUGAGCUGUCACCGAACACCGGGCAGCUGAGCGUUGGUCCGCGGUCAGCCCCAUGCUAACGCUAGCAGCCGCUGACAUUCCUCCAGUCGCUGCUUCUGGGUGUUUGCUUCAUCCCACAGACCUGCUUCCAUUAGACGCUGGUCCGGCCGUAGACGACUGUCAGUGGGUGCGAUGCCCUCUUCUUGUUCGUUCAAAGUCAAAGCCAGGGAGGAGAAAAAGUGCAUGUUCUCUGCAUUAUCGCUGAGCCUCCACACCCUUGGCUGCUGUCCACUAUUUUGGCACUCUCCAUCUUGUCGUCCCAGGUUCCUGACAGGAUGUAACGAGCUGUGCCCUCUCUGUCCUCAACCACUCCGGUCACCUGGAGACACCAGAGAAGAAGACAAACAGAUGGAGCGAUAUCCAUAUUCCUCCAGUCGGUCCAGCUCAUAAGUCUCCCCCAGCAGAGGGUUGAAGGGCUUGGCUGUGCGAUGCACUGUGGUGGAGUACGAGGAGACAGAAAAGGCCGCCACCAGGCACAUCUGCUCCAGAGACGAGUCGCAGCGGGCCGCUCGGUCCAGAAGCUCGCUGUACUCCAGAUCCUCAGUCAGACGCUGCAGCAUCGACAACGGCUCAUUGAAGUUUACCUGCAACGACGCACACAAUCACAAAAGGUUUCUUAUAAAUGGACACUGGAGCAUCUGAGACAAACCGGUGACUCAUUGAUGGGAACACACCCACAGGUGAAGAGACACCACCGAUGUGGACACAGUGUGGGAAGAGAGAACAGGAGUGUUAAAAUCAGUGGAUGCACUAGAAGCUGAUGAAGCAAUAAAAGACCAACACAGUUUUAUACUGAACGCUUUCUGAAGAAAAAACCUGAGCCCUGACGUUUCCUCAGAUUCACUAUCACACGUGCUCAACUCGAGACUCCAUAUGUAAUACUUGUCAGAGCGGUUUGGAUUUUGACACAACAAACCUUUUACACAUGAAUAAUUAAAAAAAGGAAAGCCUGUAGUGGUUAAAUGUUGCAUCAUCCACUUAAUUAUUGCUGAGCUAAUCCAGUUAUAGCCAAUGAAUUUGCUCUGCUAUUGUUGCCACUCUGCCCUGGACCAGAGGCUCAUGUAGUAAUAAAUUGUAAAUCACAGCACACACAUUUGCGUCUGCACUUGCACAAAAAUAAAAACACAUUCUGUUUAAUAUUGUGUGAAAUGGACCAUAUUAGUAAUAUUUGCACAAUAUAAACAGACAGAUCAGAUUAGUAGGAUAUAUAAAACUUUGCAUAGUCAAAACAUACAGUGACAGCACUGUAAACACAAUUUCUGAACCAUGUGAAAUUUCAGAUAGACAAAAUAAUCUUCCAAAGGGCUCAGCUCUUUAAAUCCCCUUCAGUAUUUCAGGUGUGAUACCAGUCCAUUGCUUUACAAUGAUAGAUGCAGCAUGAACACAUAACACAUCAGUCGUGGUCUUGUUACACUAAUGUGGCCACAGAAGAAACACUGAUUUGCAUCUUGCAGGUUCAAAGCUUUGACUCAUCAAUCACGGAUGCUUACAGAGGCACAGCUCCAAGAAAUGAUUCCUCUAGCUGCUGUGUUUAGUAAUAGAAUGAGGAGUAGGAUUCAAAUCAGUUGCAGACAAACAAGACAAAUAUGUCACACUUAACUUUCAGGCAAAUUCGGUGCCAUGAGGAAUCUGAUCAGCACGUUUACACAAACAUUUGCACAGAAUACAGUCUUAUUUCAGGUUAUUGCAAAACUUAAUAAACUCCAAAAACAUACACACAAUUACAAACACACAUGCACGCAGGCAAGCAUGAGGGCACACAGACAGCUUCUGUAACGUUGUAUCGAAUCUUGUUGUCGGUAAAAUGACAAUAAACAUGUUACU
This is a long non-coding RNA of Scophthalmus maximus (turbot), 2007 nucleotides long. RefSeq lists it as uncharacterized. The transcript has 5 exons. The record is from RefSeq and is a predicted model, not a curated record. Lineage: Eukaryota; Metazoa; Chordata; Actinopteri; Pleuronectiformes; Scophthalmidae.